GCGAAGGUGGUGAAAUCGGUAUACACAACGGACUUAAAAUCCGUCGACCCUAAUAAGGUCUUGGGGGUUCAAGUCCCCCUCUUCGCA
This 87-nucleotide transfer RNA is filed under the name Gammaproteobacteria bacterium. RNAcentral's name for it is "tRNA-Leu". It matches the Rfam family "tRNA". Rfam says of the family: Transfer RNA (tRNA) molecules are approximately 80 nucleotides in length. Their secondary structure includes four short double-helical elements and three loops (D, anti-codon, and T loops). Lineage: Bacteria; Pseudomonadati; Pseudomonadota; Gammaproteobacteria. The record is from RNAcentral.